Molecule: ribosomal RNA, 1370 nt
Filed under: uncultured bacterium
Lineage: Bacteria
Description: bacterial SSU rRNA
Rfam family: Bacterial small subunit ribosomal RNA
Source: RNAcentral
AGAGUUUGAUCCCGGCUCAGGACGAACGCUGGCGGCGCGCCUAACACAUGCAAGUCGAACGAGCGAGAGAGAGCUUGCUUUCUCGAGCGAGUGGCGAACGGGUGAGUAACGCGUGAGGAACCUGCCUCAAAGAGGGGGACAACAGUUGGAAACGACUGCUAAUACCGCAUAAGCCCACGGCUCGGCAUCGAGCAGAGGGAAAAGGAGCAAUCCGCUUUGAGAUGGCCUCGCGUCCGAUUAGCUAGUUGGUGAGGUAAUGGCCCACCAAGGCAACGAUCGGUAGCCGGACUGAGAGGUUGAACGGCCACAUUGGGACUGAGACACGGCCCAGACUCCUACGGGAGGCAGCAGUGGGGAAUAUUGCACAAUGGGGGAAACCCUGAUGCAGCGACGCCGCGUGGAGGAAGAAGGUCUUCGGAUUGUAAACUCCUGUUGUUGAGGAAGAUAAUGACGGUACUCAACAAGGAAGUGACGGCUAACUACGUGCCAGCAGCCGCGGUAAAACGUAGGUCACAAGCGUUGUCCGGAAUUACUGGGUGUAAAGGGAGCGCAGGCGGGAAGACAAGUUGGAAGUGAAAUCUAUGGGCUCAACCCAUAAACUGCUUUCAAAACUGUUUUUCUUGAGUAGUGCAGAGGUAGGCGGAAUUCCCGGUGUAGCGGUGGAAUGCGUAGAUAUCGGGAGGAACACCAGUGGUGAAGGCGGCCUACUGGGCACCAACUGACGCUGAGGCUCGAAAGUGUGGGUAGCAAACAGGAUUAGAUACCCUGGUAGUCCACACCGUAAACGACGAUUACUAGGUGUUGGAGGAUUGACCCCUUCAGUGCCGCAGUUAACACAAUAAGUAAUCCACCUGGGGAGUACGACCGCAAGGUUGAAACUCAAAGGAAUUGACGGGGGCCCGCACAAGCAGUGGAGUAUGUGGUUUAAUUCGACGCAACGCGAAGAACCUUACCAAGUCUUGACAUCCUGCGACGCACAUAGAAAUAUGUGUUUCCUUCAGGACGCAGAGACAGGUGGUGCAUGGUUGUCGUCAGCUCGUGUCGUGAGAUGUUGGGUUAAGUCCCGCAACGAGCGCAACCCUUACUGUCAGUUACUACGCAAGAGGACUCUGGCAGGACUGCCGUUGACAAAACGGAGGAAGGUGGGGAUGACGUCAAAUCAUCAUGCCCUUUAUGACUUGGGCUACACACGUACUACAAUGGCGUUAAACAAAGAGAAGCAAGACCGCGAGGUGGAGCAAAACUCAGAAACAACGUCCCAGUUCGGACUGCAGGCUGCAACUCGCCUGCACGAAGUCGGAAUUGCUAGUAAUCGUGGAUCAGCAUGCCACGGUGAAUACGUUCCCGGGCCUUGCACUCACCGCCCGUCA